GCAGGGUACUCUGUGGGGACCAGCCGAUGUUAAAUCGGAGGAAGGUGCGGGCCACGGUAGGUCAGUAUGCCCCGAAUCUCCCGGGCUACACGCGGGCUACAAUGGAUGGGACAAUGGGUCCCUCCCCUGAAAAGGGCUGGUAAUCUCACAAACCCAUUCGUAGUUCGGAUCGAGGGCUGUAACUCGCCCUCGUGAAGCUGGAAUCCGUAGUAAUCGCGUUUCAAUAUAGCGCGGUGAAUACGUCCCUGCUCCUUGCACACACCGCCCGUCAAACCACCCGAGUGAGGUAUGGGUGAGGGCACGGACUUCGUGCCGUGUUCGAACCUGUGCUUUGCAAGGGGGGUUAAGUCGUACCAGGG
Molecule: ribosomal RNA, 359 nt
Filed under: Methanosarcina mazei
Lineage: Archaea; Methanobacteriati; Methanobacteriota; Methanomicrobia; Methanosarcinales; Methanosarcinaceae
Description: bacterial SSU rRNA
Rfam family: Archaeal small subunit ribosomal RNA
Source: RNAcentral